AAGCGUGCGCAGGCGGUUUGUAAGACUGUCGUGAAAUCCCCGGGCUCAACCUGGGAAUGGCGAUGGUGACUGCAAGGCUAGAGUUUGGCGAGAGGGGGGUAGAAUUCCACGUGUAGCAGUGAAAUGCGUAGAUAUGUGGAGGAACACCGAUGGCGAAGGCCAGCCCCCUGGGUCAAAACUGACGCUCAUGCACGAAAGCGUGGGGAGCAAACAGGAUUAGAUACCCGAGU
Molecule: ribosomal RNA, 230 nt
Filed under: uncultured bacterium
Lineage: Bacteria
Description: partial 16S ribosomal RNA
Rfam family: Bacterial small subunit ribosomal RNA
Source: RNAcentral